AGAUCAUGAUGUCGACAAUUCCUUAGUAAAUCUUUAUAUAUUUCCCAAGCCUCAUAUAGGGAUUCUCCUACUUGUUGUUCAAAGUUGGCUAUGGCUUUCUUCAACUU
Small nucleolar RNA from Lactuca sativa (garden lettuce), 107 nucleotides. The record is from RefSeq and is a predicted model, not a curated record. Lineage: Eukaryota; Viridiplantae; Streptophyta; Magnoliopsida; Asterales; Asteraceae.